This 28-nucleotide non-coding RNA is filed under the name Bombyx mori (domestic silkworm). The record is from RNAcentral. Lineage: Eukaryota; Metazoa; Arthropoda; Insecta; Lepidoptera; Bombycidae. RNAcentral also lists the same sequence under 1 other name.
UUCCUCUCAAUACCCGUGCGCAGGCAGA